RNAcentral lists this long non-coding RNA (230 nucleotides) under Elaeis guineensis (African oil palm). Its description in RNAcentral is "long non-coding RNA (EGUI_LNC011853)". The record is from RNAcentral. Lineage: Eukaryota; Viridiplantae; Streptophyta; Magnoliopsida; Arecales; Arecaceae.
UGGCGAGAGUUGAAUGAUGAAAAAAUCAAGAGAAAAAUUUAGAAAAUAGAGGAUCUAUCCAUUUUCAUGAUUUCUCUGAUCAUUAGCUGAUCACCGAUGGUCAUGACCUAUGGAGAAGAUAGCGAAUAGGUGAGGUGUCAUGAUCCAGAGGUGCGUCUCUGUGAGUGACGACGGCGGUGGUCGAAAAAAGGGGAAAAAGACUCAACCAAAAUAGGAGAAAAAUAGGGUUG